This 491-nucleotide ribosomal RNA is filed under the name uncultured bacterium. RNAcentral's name for it is "partial 16S ribosomal RNA". It matches the Rfam family "Bacterial small subunit ribosomal RNA", at positions 28 to 507 of the family's 1533-position model. The record is from RNAcentral.
GAUGAACGCUAGCUACAGGCUUAACACAUGCAAGUCGAAGGGAAACGCCGAGAUAGCUUGCUGUAUUAGUCGUCCACCGGCGCACGGGUGAGUAACGCGUAUUCAACCUGCCUCUGACAAAGGGAUAACCCGUCGAAAGUCGGACUAAUACCUUAUGCAGUCGUCGGAAGUCAUCUGAUGACGUCGAAAGAUUUCAUCGGUGAGAGAUGGGGAUGCGUCUGAUUAGCUUGUUGGCGGGGUAACGGCCCACCAAGGCGACGAUCAGUAGGGGUUCUGAGAGGAAGGUCCCGCACAUUGGAACUGGGACACCGGCCAAACGCCUACGGGAGGCAGCAGUGAGGGAUAUUGGUCAAUGGGCGUAAGCCUGAACCAGCCAAGUAGCGUGCAGGAAGACGGCCCUAUGGGUUGUAAACUGCUUUUAUGCGGGGGUAAGGUGAGGGGCGUGUCCGUCAUUGCAGGUACCGGAUGAAUAAGGACCGGCUAACUCCGUG